AAUCAAGGUCUUGGGGAAUCCUUUCUUAGCACAGACUGGGCCAUCUGGUCCCUCUCCCUCCUUCCACACAUCACCUGACUCCACCUCUCUGAACCAGCUUCUCCAUCAUCCCUCAAUCCAGACAAAUCAUUUGAAGACGGCGAUCCAGAGCAGGAAAGGACAGAACACAGUAGGAAAACCUGUUAUCUCAGUCAUCCUGGCCAGACCGAUCUCCCUACUGCGUCACGAGUGAAGUCUGGUAUUGUGUCUGGCUGACAGGCUGAAGAGUUUGCGAGCAUUGAGCCAAAGUGUGAAGGGUUUAGGAUUAGCUGGAUGGACGGAAGAAGAAAGUUUAAUGGAGCUCAGUGCAGAAACUAAGCUGCAGAGAACAGUGAUAGAGAAAGAUGUGUGGGGACAGAAUUAUGGUCAUCCAUCUCCUACAGCGUCAUGGAUUCCUUUACCAAUGAUGGCCUGGAUAAAUGUCAAAAUCAGUUCACGAUGGAGUAAACAUAUUUCUCUAACAACUUAA
Molecule: long non-coding RNA, 508 nt
Organism: Ornithorhynchus anatinus (platypus)
Lineage: Eukaryota; Metazoa; Chordata; Mammalia; Monotremata; Ornithorhynchidae
Exons: 3
Source: RefSeq, a predicted model, not a curated record